CUGAGUCGUCUCUUCUCGAGACCCUCUCACACUUGUUGUCUUACCAAGUUGCUUCGGCAAAGCGCGACCUCGUCGCCGUCGACUCCCCUGGAGUGGGCGUGUCUUUGCUGAAGGCCCCAACUCUUCAAUUUGCAGUCAUUCUUACAAAACAAGUAACA
This 158-nucleotide unclassified non-coding RNA is filed under the name uncultured fungus. RNAcentral's name for it is "sequence contains ITS1, 5.8S rRNA gene". The record is from RNAcentral. Lineage: Eukaryota; Fungi.